AUGCCACUAGAUGAAUUUUGCAAGGUUUGCAAAAUACCCUUCGAGGGUACCUUAGAUGAACCACAUCGUAAAGAUGUGGACGGGUUUAUUGACACCAUCACUGUGGGGGAAACUAGGAAGGUUUCCGAUGCAAGAAUCACUAGCAUACAUUUUCCUGUUUUACGCUACUUUGCCAUAUUUGCUAGUCGUUGCUUAAUUGGUCGCGGAAACUGUGGAAACCUUAGUGUUCCUGAUAUUAUCAUUUUGUUCCAUGGUUUAUUUUCCGAUAACACUGUUAGUAUGGGGGUAUUAUUGCUAAACGGUUAA
This 306-nucleotide ribosomal RNA is filed under the name Triticum aestivum (bread wheat). RNAcentral's name for it is "partial small subunit ribosomal RNA". The record is from RNAcentral. Lineage: Eukaryota; Viridiplantae; Streptophyta; Magnoliopsida; Poales; Poaceae.